This 327-nucleotide ribosomal RNA is filed under the name Triticum aestivum (bread wheat). RNAcentral describes it as "partial small subunit ribosomal RNA". Lineage: Eukaryota; Viridiplantae; Streptophyta; Magnoliopsida; Poales; Poaceae. The record is from RNAcentral.
AUGGAACGCAUAUUCCAAUUAGCAUAUCUCAGAAAGACCAAGAUCCAUAAGGGAACAUUGUCACAAAAUGUCAUGGUUGCAUGUGAUUUUGAUAAUCGUUUUGUCCAUGUCUGCAGCGGAUGGGAAGGUUCAGCUUCUGACGCUCGAGUUCUACAAGAUGCUCUUGAAAAUAACUUCUAUGUCCUCGAAGGAAAGUUCUAUUUAGUGGAUGCGGGUUAUGCGAAUACGCGCAACUUCAUUGCUCCUUGUCACAAUGUAAGGUACCAUUUGGUGGAGCAAGCUAAAUGCAAUCAGCGGCCGCAAAACCCUCGAGAGCUAUUGAAAUGA